AUGGGCAUGGCUGAGAAGAGUUCGGUGGCCAGGAAGGCCGGGCUGAUCACCAAGACGUUGGACCGGUGCCGGAGCACGACAACGAGGAACAAGCCAGCAGAGGGCUGCUUCUCGGUGUACAUCGGCGCGAAUAGACAACGGUACAUGGUGCGGAUGGAGUGCUUGAGCCACCCGUUAUUCCAGGCACUGCUGGAGGAGGCCGAGGAAGCGUUUGGGUAG
This 219-nucleotide ribosomal RNA is filed under the name Triticum aestivum (bread wheat). Its description in RNAcentral is "partial small subunit ribosomal RNA". Lineage: Eukaryota; Viridiplantae; Streptophyta; Magnoliopsida; Poales; Poaceae. The record is from RNAcentral.